This 253-nucleotide ribosomal RNA is filed under the name uncultured bacterium. RNAcentral's name for it is "partial 16S ribosomal RNA". It matches the Rfam family "Bacterial small subunit ribosomal RNA", at positions 524 to 776 of the family's 1533-position model. The record is from RNAcentral.
UACGUAGGGUGCAAGCGUUAAUCGGAAUUACUGGGCGUAAAGCGUGCGCAGGCGGUGAUGUAAGUCAGGGGUGAAAUCCCCGGGCUUAACCUGGGAAGUGCAUUUGUGACUGCAUCGCUGGAGUGCGGCAGAGGGGGAUGGAAUUCCGCGUGUAGCAGUGAAAUGCGUAGAUAUGCGGAGGAACACCGAUGGCGAAGGCAAUCCCCUGGGCCUGCACUGACGCUCAUGCACGAAAGCGUGGGGAGCAAACAGG